Molecule: ribosomal RNA, 253 nt
Filed under: uncultured bacterium
Lineage: Bacteria
Description: partial 16S ribosomal RNA
Rfam family: Bacterial small subunit ribosomal RNA
Source: RNAcentral
UACGUAGGUGGCAAGCGUUGUCCGGAUUUACUGGGCGUAAAGAGCGCGCAGGCGGUCGAAUAAGUCGAAUGUGAAAGCCCCCGGCUUAACUGGGGAGGGUCAUUCGAUACUGUUAGACUUGAAGGCAGGAGAGGGCAGCAGAAUUCCCGGUGUAGUGGUGAAAUGCGUAGAUAUCUGGAGGAAUACCGGUGGCGAAGGCGGCAUCCUGGACCGACAUUGACGCUGAACGGCGAAAGCUAGGGGAGCAAACGGG